Molecule: long non-coding RNA, 1326 nt
Organism: Lolium perenne
Lineage: Eukaryota; Viridiplantae; Streptophyta; Magnoliopsida; Poales; Poaceae
Source: RefSeq, a predicted model, not a curated record
UUGCUCUCACUUUUCCACUCCCCACUCUUUCCUCCACUCCCACACACUCUCCUCCUACCUCUCCCCACGAAAUUGCUGCUCCUCCUAGCUUCAUGGCCGGCCAUGGCCAUGAAAAGCUCUCCAAGAUGAAGCUCUCCCCCUCCCUCAAGCUCCCCCUCUCCAUGAGAGCAUCCCUCUCCUUCUUCUCCCCAAUCCUAGAUGGUUUUCUCUCCUCUUCUUCUUCCUCCCUUGCUAAGUUUGGAUCUUGAUGCAGGUGCAUGUUGGUCCAAGCAUGGAGAAGCUUCACCUACCCUCAGAUCUGAAGUUCUUGACCAAAAUUCGUCCAAAACCUUGCAGGGAUAUUUGGUUUAUACCAUGGUGAUAACCGAGAGAGGCAAUUGCUAAGUUGUGACGCACUCAUACCUCUACUAGAUGCGAACACUUCCGGAGAAGAAGAAGAAGUGGAAUCGGACGGGGAUUUUAUUUUUAUUGUUGGAAUACAUAUUUGAUGGAGUUGAAGAAGUCCAGGGACAAAUAAGCCAACCAAGGCAAGCCAUCUCUUGAUCUCUGAAUGUUGAAUCACAUAUCGUGGUUACUUUGUUGUUAUUCUUGUCUCUCGAUAUUUUUUGUGUGGUAUCUACUUAUGUUGAUGGAGCGUGCUCACCAUGAGCAUGUUGGAUUCUCUUUGACACCUCACCUACCAUCCCCUUUAGGGAAAUGGUGGUAAUUAUCAUGAUCUUGGUGUACCUUCUAAGUGUGAGGGAUAUGCCCACUUAUCUUGUGUGUGUCGACCUCUUGACACCCUUCUUGAACCCCUUGUUGAUGUUCUGCAUACUUACUCUCGAGUAUAUUGAACCCCUUGUUGAUCUUAUGCAUGCAUACCCUAAGCAUGUAUGCCCCCUUGACCAUCUAUAUUAUCAUCUUCUUAGCGGUAUGAUGAUUAACAUCUUGAACCUUGUUGGAUCUUCCAACUUAUGUUGUCCCUAUACAUGCUUAUCCUAAGUAUGUAUGAUCCCCUUAACACCUCAAUUAUCAUCCCCUUAGUGGUAUGAUGGCUAGCAUCAUGUCAUUGUGACUCUUAGUUCCUUCAUAAAACUAUAGGUUGGGAACCCCCUUGGAAAAAUACCUUGUUGAAAAGAAUUUUUGAAAACCUUGGGUGAGUUGGACUUACCCAAGCGUGUGUUUAUGAAAGGAAAUGAUCUUGGCAAAGAUGGUUGAAAAGAAAAUCUUGUUUUCGAAAACUUUGGCGCCUAAGUAUUCACCCGUGACAAUUAACCCGCGCAACCAUAGCUACUCCAACAUGGGCACGGAGCUUAACUUGACGUUUGCUCUUCUUAGCAUGAGGCA